CGUUUGGUUUUGUUCAUUGCAUAAGAAGCCUAACAUUCAUAUCAAAGCUACAGUUAACAAGUUAAGUAUUAUAUCGUAAGUCAUUUAAUAUAUUAUGUACAUCGACACAUUAAUAUUUUUCUGCUCGUUUACAUGUUGAUGUUUUUUAUUAAGGAGUGCAAUGAAAACAUUAAAGAGUAGUUUGGAUGGUCAUAUUGAUAAAGUUGCAAUGCAGUGGGUUGAAAUAAAGGUUAGUCAUAUAAUGAAUGUUUAUUUCCGACUGCUGAUGUUUGUUAAGGUUGUAAUUGUCUUAUUCAAUCAUUUUUAUAUUGAAUAUAGAUUCACGUUCAAACCGGUGGGUAUGAGUGUGGCUAUUAUGUUAUGCAUUGGAUGUGGAACAUAGUAAGCGGGGGGUUGAUUGGAGCAUGGUAUAUUUACAUUUAAGAAAAAAUUAAUUGUUGACUAUCACUUUUUUUUCAUUUCACAUGUAGGUCACUAUUUUCUAUACUUUAAAUUUUGUAGUGGUUUGGUGAUAGCACGCCAUUAGACAUCGAGAGCAUGACAAAAAUUCGCAAGAAAUGGGCAACAUAUUUUUUAAAAGUUAAAAACAUCUAAUGUAAAUACCUUUAGAUAAGAUAGGAAGAACCACUGCGGUGCAUUCGAUGUUUAACGUACUUGUUAUAAACAAGUUUGUACAAUUAUUGACAAUUUUUUGAGAAUUAGUAUACAAAUUUCUUUAUUUCAUUUUCUCUGCAACAAAGCCCUUGGACAAUGCAUUGCUAUCGCAAUUGGUAGGUGCGUCAAUAGGAUCAGUUAUUUUUGUGCGACCAAACAGCCCAUUUUGCAGGUCAUUGUGUAGCUGAGGAUGUCCAUAGUGCCGAUGAUAGCUCAAUUGACAUCAAGAAAUAUGAGGUUCCACAACUACAUUCAUGUAUGUUCAUAUGAAGCUGCUAUUUAUAAUUUGUGUUUAUUACUAAUUUUUGAACUAAUUCAUACUAUAAAUUAUAUCUUAACAUGUCCUUGCUGCAUCAAAAUUACUUAUGUGCUGGAUGGAUGGAGCAUUGUCUAUGCGUUUCUAAGUUCAGCAAGUGCCUCGUUAUUGGAAAGAGGAUUCACAUUAAUGGAGUGGGAUAAGUCCCAUUUUGGUGCUUGUUGGUGUAGUGGUUGUGAUUAAUGGAGCAACCAAGGAAAUAGGAAAGGUAGCAGUAGUGGCAGUGACUAAGGCAUGUAGAAUAGAGGUAGCAGGAACGGUGGAUACUUGUCAUAUUGGGGAAAACAUUAGAAAGAUAUGUGGCACGGAAGAGCUCCUUCAAAUACCCAUCAUAAAUGACCUUACUAUGAUUUUGGGCUCCAUAUCUCAGGCAACAACAUUUGGCAUGAAGAGCAUAGUUUACGUGCCCUGAAUCAAAUUAGACACGGUAGCUGCACUAUCUGCAUUUUGCGACAAGGCCAACAUGGUGAUCACGGGGUGAGACAAAUAACAACAAUACAAUGUUUACUUGACAAUAUUUCUGUUCUCCUUUCUAUUUUAUGGUCUGUUUCGUUAUUUUCACACUUCAUAGUCCAUAUUUGAAUAGAAAAUGUUGUAAUUUUAAUUAGUCUAAAUUUGAAACUUGCUACUACGAGAUUGUUUUUUGCGUUUUGUGGCAUAUUAUUUAACUUUUAUGUGAGGGUGUCUUGGUUGCACCAAACCUUUCCAUCGGAUCAAUAUUAUUGCAACAACUUGCGAUUUUAGCUUCUUUCCAUUACAACAAUAUCGAAAUUGUGGAAUCUAGGGCCAAUGCAAAUGUAAGAUUUUUUUAUGUUUAGCUAUGGCCAUAAAGAUAGGCCAAAUGAGUGUGAGUAAGGGAAUU
This is a long non-coding RNA of Glycine soja, 1832 nucleotides long. RefSeq lists it as uncharacterized. The record is from RefSeq and is a predicted model, not a curated record. The transcript has 5 exons. Lineage: Eukaryota; Viridiplantae; Streptophyta; Magnoliopsida; Fabales; Fabaceae.